CCCGCCCCCGACAGCCGCGGGAACAGCAUGAUAAGCGCCUGGCGCUCUACUCUGGCGACCCUUCAACGUUUCUUGCGGGUGAGUGUUCCCACAGGACUGCGACUACACGCGUUAAAAGUUUCUCAAAAGUUGACGUCAAACCAGAAACAAAAACAACUGCGCGUAUACUAAGUAUGUAAAAAUUACCAACAACAAACACAGCUGGAGCAUAAUAUUUUCUUGUAAUUAUAAAUGAUCCUUUUAGUUCACGUCAGAAAGGUAAUGUGCCGAUGUCGUAACAAGGUUUGGAGGGAGGCACAUAUCACGCAGCUGCGUGAACACCCAAUCAUCAUGCUCAUGAACUACAAAAGGAUCAGUUUGGUUAGCUGAUUAAGGAACUCCAGACACGGCCCACUAACUUUUCACGAAGGAUGACAGAUGUAGGGUUUAUUUAUUUAUACUUGCAUAUAAAAUCCUGUACAUUUUAUCACCGUCACCGACGUUCCGUGAUAUUUCUUUUGUUUCUACUUUAGUAGUCGGAAACAGAAAGAAAAUAUCUAGGAGGGUUAUUCCCCAUGCAAAAAUCCUCCUCAUGGCUCCGCCCUUUUUGACCCUAGGACGGCAUUGCUUUACGAUCGUCCGUCGUGAAAUGAUGGAGCGUUGCCGCUGUAAUGGCGGAAGCUAGCCUUCUGCUUUGCGGCAGCGACGCUGGCUGAGUCGGAUCCUGACACGCCCAGGCGCGCCGGAAGGGCUUCAGGUAACGGUGGCCGUGGGAGUGUCGUGCGUAUGGGGUUUAUUUCUUAAACUCUUUUUUUUUUUUUUAAGUCUUCAGAAAGGCCAGAGUAACUUCCCCCCCUCCAUUUUUGGAAUCAGACUCUGUUACUUCCAGAGAUACCUCUUUCUCGCAUCUUUUCCUUUAUAUCUUUACUCUUCUGCCGGUUAGACCAUCUCUCCCCGCUGUCCUCCUAGACGUCUCACCGGGUUUUUUUUUUUUUUCUUCUGUGCUUUUCGAGAAUCCCAGCCCACGAGGUGAUCUUUCCUCCCGCUCUGUAGCGGAUCCCCGGCCGCCUCCGUCCUCCGCGUUCUCGGUCUGAGGGAUGGAGUCUCACGGCCCUCGGGAAUCCCCGGGGGGGCCUUGGGAGGGUUCUUCCUUGCCCGGAGCGUGGCCUUCCUCCGCCCUCGGGCAGGCCUUCUCCCAGAUCUUGCACCAGUUUGCCGGCCAGGAAUCCCGACGGGGCAAGGCCAGAAAUGCAGCUCUUGAGGACCUCGCUGCUCUGCUCGAAGCUAAAGAAUGUGAUCGGUUAUUUGAGGGGAGUGACGCCUCGCUCCGCGGAAUGCCCGAGAUGCUGGGGCAGGUGGUAAAAGCCCUGGAGAAAUAUGCAGCCCCUGCCGAGGAGCCGGAAGGAAGAGGUGACCGCCACCCCGAAGUGGCGGAGAAAGCGGCGGCAGUUGCGUUACUGUUUCUAAAGCUCUUGAGGAAGGUCGAGGCCGCCAAGAAUUCCUUGGUUUGCCCUGCAUGGAAGACAAGCCUCCGUCCCUUGGCAGGACCCAUCUAUGUUUUUGCGGUCACACACAGCUUGGAGCAACCGUGGACCAGCCAAAGAUCUCAAGAGGUCGCUGGACAGGUGCUCGCUUUAUUGCUUCAGGUCACUGAUUGUGGUUGUGUGGCUGGAUUCCUCCACGGAGAAAAUGAAGACGAGAAAGGGAGAUUUAGUGCGAUCAUGGGGUUUCUCAAACCCGAUUUGAAUAAGGACUCCUGGAAGAAUAACCCGGCCACCAAAUACGUUUUCUCAUGGACUUUGCAAAAGGUCACUCGACCCUGGCUGAGCCAACAUCUGGAGAGAAUACUUCCUCCAUCAUUGCUCAUCUCAGAUGACUAUCAGACUGAAAACAAAAUCCUGGGUGUUCACUGCCUCCAUCACAUUGUGCUUAAUGUGCCAGCUGCGGACUUGCUGCAGUACAACAGGGCCCAGGUCGUCUACCACGCCCUUUUCAGCCACCUGCACACACGGGAGCACCUCCUCAUUCAGGCUGUGCUCCUGUGUCUGCUGGAUUUAUUCCCCGUCCUGGAGAAAGCCCUACACUGGAAGGGAGAUGGGGCCCGACCCACCACACACUGUGACGAGGUCCUGCAGCUGAUUCUGACGCACAUGGAACCCGAGCACCGCCUUCUCUUACGCAGGACUUACGCGAGAACCCUGCCAGCUUUUGUGAAGAGGUUGGGGAUCUUAACUGUCCGACACUUGAAAAGGCUGGAGCGAGUUAUCAUUGGUUACCUGGAGGUAUAUGAUGGACCCGAGGAGGAGGCCAGAUUGAAGAUACUGGAAACCCUGAAACUUCUCCUGCAGUAUGCUUGGCCCAGAGUCUCCUGUAGACUUGUGGUCUUACUGAAGGCCCUCUUGAAACUGAUAUGUGACGUAGCAAGGGAUUCAAGCCUCACACCCGAGUGUGUUAAGAGCGCCUUGUUGGAAGAGGCCACAGACUGCCUGAUUCUUCUGGACCACUGCUCUUCAGGACGGGUAAAGGGUCUCCUGGCUAAAAUCCUCCACAGUUGUGAAGACAGUCAGGUGGGGAGCUGCAUCCGAAGAGUGCAACAGCUUUCUGAAGGUGCUCCCUGUGAUGCAACUUAAGACUUGUAUUACUUUCCUGAAAAGAAAAGGAUUUUCUUUCUCUUCCAGUUGUUUUAAGUGGAAUUAUUUCAGGCAAAAGCAUCUGAAGAGUCACUCUCUGCCUCCUGCUGUUCCAGGGCCUUAUCGAAGGCGUGGAUGGGGAAGUUGUAGAUGUCACCGUACUGAAGAAAAGAAACAUGGGUCAGCUUUCGCCACGUUUGACCUUAUGCUUAAAGUCCACUGUCCAACCAGCAUAUUAUUUUCCUCAGUGAUUAAAUAGGAACAUUUAGUUUGACAAGUAAUAGUACUAUAUUAUGUUCAAGCCUAGAGCCAGUGGUUUCUUUAAAAAACCCACAUUUGACAUUUAAAUAAUCAGCAAUACCAAACUGGUAACUUCUAUGAAAGAUGGACACCAAAUCAGUUAAAAUAUAGUAGUAUAUAAAACCCAUGGAUUGAAACAAAUGUAGUUUUGCCAACAAAGGGGAAAUAAGAUUUAAAAAGCAUAUUUUAUUCAUGUUGUCUCUUUAAAUAACAUCCAUUUUUCAAAAGAAUAAAAAUUCAUUUUAAAGAACCUUAAAAGACUAGGAUGAAUAAGCAGAAGGAUCAAAGCUGUGUGGCUUUUGUAGAGACCUAGAAUUGCUGUGUUUGGAGGAGGAGUUGGGAAUAAUGGCAAAAAAGGAAAGGUCUCCAAACUGGAGUAUCAAGGGUUAACUGCAGUAGUUUACAUGCUUGCAUUAGCCAGAGCUAAUAUGAUAUUUAUUUUAUUCCAAGAAUAAAAUCGAGGUAAGGCACUUUCUAACAUCUUUAAAAAUAAAACCCAUUUCCAACUAGUCCCAUGUCUCCUGGCACAUUACCUAGCACCUAAAAAAUAAAAUCUGCACCCCAGA
Odocoileus virginianus texanus is the source of this 3475-nucleotide non-coding RNA. The record is from RefSeq and is a predicted model, not a curated record. NCBI's taxonomy places the organism in Eukaryota, Metazoa, Chordata, Mammalia, Artiodactyla, Cervidae.